RNAcentral lists this ribosomal RNA (887 nucleotides) under uncultured bacterium. RNAcentral describes it as "bacterial SSU rRNA". It matches the Rfam family "Bacterial small subunit ribosomal RNA", at positions 8 to 942 of the family's 1533-position model. The record is from RNAcentral.
AGAGUUUGAUCAUGGCUCAGAACGUACGCUGGCGGCACGCCUAACACAUGCAAGUCGAACGAAGUAGCAAUACUUAGUGGCAGACGGGUGAGUAACAUGUAGGUAUCUACCCUUUGGCCUGGAAUAACACGAGGAAACUUGUGCUAAUACCGGAUAAGUCUUUACGGAGAAAGCUUUAUGCACCAUUGGAUGAGCCUGCACUUGAUUAGCUAGUUGGUAAGGUAAAAGCUUACCAAGGCAACGAUCAAUAGCUGUUCUUAGAGGAAGACCAGCCACAUUGGGACUGAGACACGGCCCAGACUCCUACGGGAGGCAGCAGUGGGGAAUCUUGCACAGUGGGGGAAACCCUGAUGCAGCGAUGCCGCGUGAGUGAAGAAGGCCUUUGGGUUGUAAAACUCUUUCGUCGGGGAAGAAAAUGACUGUACCCGAAUAAGAAGGUCCGGCUAACUUCGUGCCAGCAGCCGCGGUAAUACGAAGGGACCUAGCGUAGUUCGGAAUUACUGGGCUUAAAGAGCUCGUAGGUGGUUAAAAAAGUUGAUGGUGAAAUCCCAAGGCUCAACCUUGGAACUGCCAUCAAAACUUUUUAGCUAGAGUGUGAUAGAGGUAAGUGGAAUUUCUAGUGUAGAGGUGAAAUUCGUAGAUAUUAGAAAGAACACCAAAUGCGAAGGCAACUUACUGGGUCACUACUGACACUGAGGAGCGAAAGCAUGGGUAGCGAAGAGGAUUAGAUACCCUCGUAGUCCAUGCCGUAAACGAUGUGUGCUAGACGUUGGAAAUAUAUUUUUCAGUGUCGCAGCGAAAGCAUUAAGCACACCGCCUGGGGAGUACGACCGCAAGGUUAAAACUCAAAUGAAUUGACGGGGACCCGCACAAGCAGUGGAGCAUGU